Molecule: ribosomal RNA, 262 nt
Filed under: uncultured bacterium
Lineage: Bacteria
Description: partial 16S ribosomal RNA
Rfam family: Bacterial small subunit ribosomal RNA
Source: RNAcentral
UACGUAGGGUGCAAGCGUUAAUCGGAAUUACUGGGCGUAAAGCGUGCGCAGGCGGUUUUGUAAGUCUGUCGUGAAAUCCCCGGGCUCAACCUGGGAAUUGCGAUGGAGACUGCAAGGCUAGAAUCUGGCAGAGGGGGGUAGAAUUCCACGUGUGAGCAGUGAAAUGCGUAGAGAUGUGGAGGAACACCGAUGGCGAAGGCAGCCCCCUGGGUCAAGAUUGACGCUCAUGGCACGAAAGCGUGGGGAGCAACAGGAUAUAGAC